AUUGAACGCUGGCGGCAGGCUUAACACAUGCAAGUCGAGCGAGCGGCGGACGGGUGAGUAAUGUCUGGGAAACUGCCUGAUGGAGGGGGAUAACUACUGGAAACGGUAGCUAAUACCGCAUACCAUCAGAUGUGCCCAGAUGGGAUUAGCUAGUAGGUGGGGUAAUGUCUCACCUAGGUGACGAUCCCUAGCUGGUCGGAGAGGAUGACCAGCAACACUGUGUCUAGGACACGGUCCAGACGCCUACGUGAGGGAUCAGUGGGGAAUAUUGGACAAUGGGCGCAAGCCUGAUGCAGCCAUGCCGCGGGUGUGAAGAAGGCCUUCGGGUUGUAAAGCACUUUCAGCGAGGAGGCGUUACUCGCAGAAGAAGCACCGGCUAACUCCGUGCCAGCAGCCGCGGUAAUAC
Molecule: ribosomal RNA, 406 nt
Filed under: uncultured bacterium
Lineage: Bacteria
Description: partial 16S ribosomal RNA
Rfam family: Bacterial small subunit ribosomal RNA
Source: RNAcentral